This is a long non-coding RNA of Anas platyrhynchos (mallard), 1608 nucleotides long. RefSeq lists it as uncharacterized. The record is from RefSeq and is a predicted model, not a curated record. Lineage: Eukaryota; Metazoa; Chordata; Aves; Anseriformes; Anatidae.
UCUGUAGCACAGUCUUUCUUUGCCCCAGAUUGUAAAUUCAUUGGAGUAGAGAUGCCACGUAUUAGAGCAGCGCUGUACUGAGAGGUUUUUCAGACUGAAAUAGUCUCACCUUCUCCUUUGAUGUGGGAGAAAUGGCAGCAAGGUUGUGUUACCCACAUAAGUAGGAAAGAAUUCAAAAAGAGAGAGAAAACAAACUAUCCUUCUAAACCUUCUUAAUCCUUCUAAAAACAAGUCUCACCCUCUGGGGACAGUUUCAUCUGAAGGGCCUGUGUCUCUUUCAAGCAUGUGUCCUCAGGUUGUCCCCAGUCAGCUCUAACCUCACAAAGCUCUUCUUGGUGGAAGCUGAUGAGUCUUCUUCUGGCACUGUCCUGGAAUAGUGGUGCUGCUGCUUGACUUGAUCUGGCCUUGGAUGUCAUAUCAGCCUGGAGCAUAUUCAUCUGCCUUCUACAGAUGCCUGCUGCUGCAGCGCCUGUGUUAUUCCCAUGCAAUCAAGCAUUGGCAUGAGCCAUCUGGAAGGCUUGGCUGACCUGUCCAGUAUCUAGUUUACAACCCUACUCAGGCAUAGCACACCAGGGAACUGCAUAAGACAAACUGGUCCUCCUGGGACCUGACCCAGGGCUCUAGCACCCACAAGAUUUGCCCGUUCUCAUCCUCAUUAGUCCCAGAGCAGUGUCAGGGAGAUUGUUUUAUAACUGCAUAACAUAAAAGCAAAGGGAGGGAAGGCAUCUCUAUGGGUACUGCUUGAACUCUGACAUCAGAUCUCAGGCAAGAUCUGUGCCCUUGUUUGUUCAAGCAGCAGCUUGCCUCUGGAAGUCAAGAACUGACAGAUUGCUUCCAUGUGACACUGGCUGCAGAAAUUGAGGUAUCCUCAUGCUCUGAAAUGGGCAGUUGGAUUCUGGAGGACCUUUGGUCCUGACGGUGAAGUGAAGCAUGAAGCUGGUCCUGCUGCAUCUGCCCAGGCAGGAUCUGCUCUCUGCCUCCUCCAGUCGUAGUGAGAGCAAAGUCAGCAUCUGUCUUGCCCAUGUGCAUGCCAGUAUGGCUGCAGAAACCUCCUGGGAGGCCAGAGGUGGACAGGGAGCCUCUGCUGGGGCAAGGAAAAAGCACAGAGCCUGAUAGGCUGCAGUAUCCCUUUAGAAGAGAGCAGACUUCACAGAAGUUAGCUCGAUGUCAGUCAUCAGCCUCCGACUCAAAAGAAACCUUGGAAGGGGAAUAAAAUCCAGCAGCAGCAACCUCUAAUCCUGAAGAGUGAGACUGCAAAUGUUGUCAGAGAACUCACUUUCAUAUGUUUUUAAUUCAGAGGGAAAUAUGGAGAAUUUGUGUUAAUCUACAUAUUCAAGAGAACGAGAUGGCCUGAAACACAGUGCUAUGUUUCAUUAAAUAUUUGUCUUAAUGCAGAAUGCAACAAACCAUUAUAAUCGUGUAUUCAUGGAAAACACUCUCUUUGAAACCUCCUUCCUACAUUACAAAGAGUUUGAAUCCUGGAUUUAACCACAAAAUUCAGCUUGGCAGAAAUGAAUUACCUACUAUGCAGGUGCAGUGGCAUCUCCAUAGUAUAACUUUUCUGUAUGUUUAUGAGCAUAAACACUAAGUGUAUAAAUCUAUUAUCAA